AUACCUUACUCGGCCUUGUGGUUAAGAUCAAGUGUAGUUUCUGUUCUCACCAGCUUAAUAUCUGAUACAUGGACCACUGUCCCACAUGAUAUCAACCAUAUGGCGUUUUAUUCAAAAAAUUGAGAAACAGUUUUUGCAAAAUUCUUCUAGUUACAAGAACCACACAAAAGAAAAGUAUGAGUUUUGCUACUU
Molecule: small nuclear RNA, 192 nt
Filed under: Solanum tuberosum (potato)
Lineage: Eukaryota; Viridiplantae; Streptophyta; Magnoliopsida; Solanales; Solanaceae
Description: snRNA U2
Rfam family: U2 spliceosomal RNA (bases 1-116)
About the family: U2 is a small nuclear RNA (snRNA) component of the spliceosome (involved in pre-mRNA splicing). Complementary binding between U2 snRNA (in an area lying towards the 5' end but 3' to hairpin I) and the branchpoint sequence (BPS) of the intron results the bulging out of an unpaired adenosine, on the BPS, which initiates a nucleophilic attack at the intronic 5' splice site, thus starting the first of two transesterification reactions that mediate splicing.
Source: Rfam by way of RNAcentral